UGGAGCGUCGUUUGUGUAGAGGCACAGUGCGCGGCAUUUGAACAGUGCUCCACAACUCUCCUUUACCCAAACUUAAACGGGGAAUAUCUCGUCAACGGGUUGACGGACGACAUACUAAAUGUCAACGCCAAAAAGUACUUAGACUCAUACUCUGUUUAUGCAUUAUAGUUAGCUAUUCGAAUUUACCUAUUCGUAAAUAUUUAAUAUUGAUCACCUUUAACAUAAAAUGACCAGGUACGUAACUGUUACAAACUAUGCCU
Molecule: non-coding RNA, 260 nt
Organism: Cinara cedri
Lineage: Eukaryota; Metazoa; Arthropoda; Insecta; Hemiptera; Aphididae
Source: the annotation of a GenBank genome assembly